CCUACGGGUGGCAGCAGUGAGGAAUAUUGGUCAAUGGACGAGAGUCUGAACCAGCCAAGUAGCGUGAAGGAUGACUGCCCUAUGGGUUGUAAACUUCUUUUAUAAAGGAGUAAAAUGAGGCACGUAUGCCUUUUUGUAUGUACUUUAUGAAUAAGGAUCGGCUAACUCCGUGCCAGCAGCCGCGGUAAUACGGAGGAUCCGAGCGUUAUCCGGAUUUAUUGGGUUUAAAGGGAGCGUAGAUGGGUUGUUAAGUCAGUUGGGAAAGUUUGCGGCUCAACCGUAAAAUUGCAAUUGAUACUGGCAGUCUUGAGUGCAGUUGAGGGAGGCGGAAUUCGUGGUGUAGCGGUGAAAUGCUUAGAUAUCACGAAGAACCCCGAUUGCGAAGGCAGCUUACUAAACUGUGACUGACAUUGAUGCUCGAAAGUGUGGGUAUCAAACAGGAUUAGAUACCCCAGUAGUC
This 460-nucleotide ribosomal RNA is filed under the name uncultured bacterium. Its description in RNAcentral is "partial 16S ribosomal RNA". It matches the Rfam family "Bacterial small subunit ribosomal RNA", at positions 338 to 795 of the family's 1533-position model. The record is from RNAcentral.